AAACAAACAAGCAAUCUCCACCAACACAUGAAGGUGGUUUUCUCAUGGGAGGCUCCUCCAUUGCACUCCAGAUGUGACAGCCCUGUGACUUCCUCAAAUGGGAAACUUGAAUACAUAAUUUGUGGUAGUGGAAGACUGAAUUCAUACUAUUUCCUG
Molecule: non-coding RNA, 156 nt
Organism: Myodes glareolus (Bank vole)
Lineage: Eukaryota; Metazoa; Chordata; Mammalia; Rodentia; Cricetidae
Source: RefSeq, a predicted model, not a curated record